AAAAAAAAAAAAAAAAAAGAAUCAAAGCUUUAAAAUCCAGCAGAAGUAAAAUUUCCAAGUGGGAGGGAAGAGGAUCAACAGGAGAAUCUGCAAGAGUAAAAGAGGAAGAAGAUGUGUGCUGCAUGGCACAAAAUGAAUCUGCAAAGCAUCUGGGAACUGCAGACCCUACUGAUGCCUGGAACUCACUGGAGUCAGCAUGUCCAGGCAGUCAUUGUAGCAAGUCAGAGUGGUGUGAUGAAAUGCUUCAGGAGAAAAACAUUUCACCACAGCCUGGUUCACUCAGAUACCUUGCCAGGGAACCAACAUCUCACUCGGGCCUCUGAUAUUGUAACUGUGGGCCUUUAAGAAACAACGGAAAACCCAACUGAAUAAAAACUGACCUCCUUUGUGGCUGCCCUGAUGGAAGGGGCUCAGGAGCAACAGCCUUCAUGGUGCCCACCCUCUGGGCCAGAACAACGGAUGCCCCACAACUGAGUUUAGUGCCUCCAAGAACCACAGCUUUUUUUUGCAGCAGUAAGAGCAUACCUCUGAGGCACUGUGAAGAAUCUGAUAGUCGAACUGAAUGAAGCCAAGUCCAGUCUUUACGGAAAAAUUUACACAACACUUCCAGCCGGAGCAGAUGUGUAUUAACCCAAUUGGACAUCCGUGAAGACACCAAGGCCCAGAGAGAUCAUAAGAACCUAUAGAAGUUUCCAUGACUGGUGGAUGUGACAGUCAAGCCGCAGUUUGUAUAAUACACAGCCAUAAUCUUAUCUACCACUUUUAAAAAUUAAACAUAGAUGAAAUGUUUACAGUUCUUUGUGAGUGAAUCUAUAAUUUUGCUUAAAAAAAGCACAAGGCAGUGCUGAGGGCUCCAUUAACAGUUUGAAAUAUAUUCUUUGUCUUCUGAGUUUCUCUGAAUAUUACAGAGGCAAUGGGAACUUGAGGGAAAUUUGCUCACUGCUGUGUGUGACAGCAUACCAGCUUCCUUUAUCACAUAAAAAAGGAUUCCCCUGGAUCUCGCUCAUUCUGCAAACAAUGCACAGGGCGAACUCUUAUUCUGCUUACAGUAACUUUAAAUUUUGAAGGCAAGUGUGUAAAUUAAGGAUCUAAGCCAGGUGUGAUGGAGCGCACCUGUGGUCCCCACUACUCAGAAAGCUGAGGUGGGAGGAUCAUCUGAG
This 1160-nucleotide long non-coding RNA is filed under the name Homo sapiens (human). RNAcentral describes it as "HSALNT0337081". Lineage: Eukaryota; Metazoa; Chordata; Mammalia; Primates; Hominidae. The record is from RNAcentral.